CAGUAGCCGCGGUAAUACGUAGGGUGCGAGCGUUAAUCGGAAUUACUGGGCGUAAAGCGUGCGCAGGCGAUUGUGUAAGACAGGUGUGAAAUCCCCGGGCUUAACCUGGGAACUGCGCUUGUGACUGCACAGCUAGAGUAUGGCAGGGGGGGGUGGAAUUCCACGUGUAGCAGUGAAAUGCGUAGAGAUGUGGAGGAACACCGAUGGCGAAGGCAGCCCCCUGGGCCAAUACUGACGCUCAUGCACGAAAGCGUGGGGAGCAAACAGGAUUAGAUACCCGCGUAGUCCCUGUCUCUUAUAC
Molecule: ribosomal RNA, 301 nt
Filed under: uncultured bacterium
Lineage: Bacteria
Description: partial 16S ribosomal RNA
Rfam family: Bacterial small subunit ribosomal RNA
Source: RNAcentral